RNAcentral lists this long non-coding RNA (1484 nucleotides) under Sorghum bicolor (sorghum). RNAcentral describes it as "long non-coding RNA (SBIC_LNC001917)". Lineage: Eukaryota; Viridiplantae; Streptophyta; Magnoliopsida; Poales; Poaceae. The record is from RNAcentral.
UGCUAUAGUUACAUGUACGUUCUUGAUUGCGGACUAACAAAUGGCAAAGAGGUUACGUUAUCGUGCAAAAUCUAGAUGAAACUGCAGCUUGCAUCGCACACUGAACAAUUGACACUUUAUUACCCACGAAAAAUUCGACAAUCCGAUCCCGAUCCUAGCAAAGUAGAUGAAGCAAAUAAACCCAUAAUCUUGUAAAAAAUUGAAUCUAAAAAAAUGAAAGCGGCGGCUGCGUCGUCGGAGCCACGGCCUCGUCGGCACGCGCAGGGUAGCCGCUGAAAUCGGGGUGGACCGCCGGCGGCACGUACGCGUUGGGCGCGAGGGCCACUGCCGGGUACACGUACGGCGGCAGAGGCGGCGACACCGGGUACAAGCUGGCGUUCAAGGCAGGUGGCGGCGCCAGCUGGUACACCGCCGUCUUGUAUCCCGGCACGUAUGGGUAGUUGCCGCCGCCGUAGCCGCCAUAGCCGUAGCCGGAUGAUCCUGUGGUAGCUGGACCGUACGCGUCAGGGAAGCCGCCGUAGUCGUAGCCGGAUGAUCUUGUAGCGGGGCCGCCGUACGCGCCAGGGAAGCCGCCGUAGCCGUACCGGCGGUCGUAGUCGUAGCCGGAGCCGAGGCCGAGAGAAGAAGCCGUCGGGCCCGAGCCGCCGGCGCCGGCGUACCCGCGGUAGUACGGGUACGUGUCGUCGUCGUUGCUGCUGUUAUAGCGGUCGUAGUAGGGGUUCUCCACGACGACAUCGUCCCCGCCGCCUGUAUUAGCACUAGCAGAUGCGGCGGCGGCGUCGACCUUGGCGAAGUAGUCGUUGUCCGCCUUGAGCUGGUCGUAUACGGCGGCGUCGAUCUUGGCUUGGGCGCGCUGGGAAGCCGCGGUGUAGGUCCGGAGCGCCUCCCGGCAAGCCUCGGUGUAGGUCCGGAGCGCCGCCCGGCAAGCCUCGGUGUAGGUCCGGAGCGCCUCCUCCUUGUCGUGCCUGCCGCCGUCCCUCUCUUCGUCGGCGCGACGCGACGCCGCGAUCCAGGCCAGGUGCGCCUUGUCGAAGGAUUCCACUUGUUCCGGGGUGGACCUGGACCAGGGCGGGCACUCUUCCUCCAACUCCCGGAGCUGCUUCUUGAACUCUACUUCGUCUUCCUGCGCUGCUGCUGCUUUGUCGUCGUCGUUGCCGUUGCCGUUGCUCUUGUUCUCCUCUCCUGCAGUAUUGGCGGUGGCGGUGGCGGCGACGGCCUGCUGCUGCGCCUCGGCAUCCUCCAUCGCGUCAUGCUGUGAGAGCAGGUAAAUCCAGUCCUCGCCGCCGUCGCUGAUGCCGCACAUGUUAUCUUGUACUUUUUUAGAAGACGACAUGAUCGCUUCUUUUCUACUUGUCGGUCUUCUAGCUUCUUCUCCACAAAUCGAUGAUGAUGAUGAUUGAAUUGGCUAUUGCGGCGGAUUGGAUCUCGAUGUCGUUCGCUCCUUGUUAUCGAUCACGGACGUCGUCAGAUUGCCCCGGGUAUCU